Molecule: ribosomal RNA, 435 nt
Filed under: uncultured bacterium
Lineage: Bacteria
Description: bacterial SSU rRNA
Rfam family: Bacterial small subunit ribosomal RNA
Source: RNAcentral
AACGCGAAGAACCUUACCAAAUCUUGACAUCCUUUGACCCUUCUAGAGAUAGAAGUUUCCCCUUCGGGGGGCAAAGUGACAGGUGGUGCAUGGUUGUCGUCAGCUCGUGUCGUGAGAUGUUGGGUUAAGUCCCGCAACGAGCGCAACCCUUAAGCUUAGUUGCCAUCAUUAAGUUGGGCACUCUAAGUUGACUGCCGGUGACAAACCGGAGGAAGGUGGGGAUGACGUCAAAUCAUCAUGCCCCUUAUGAUUUGGGCUACACACGUGCUACAAUGGACAAUACAAAGGGCGGCGAAACCGCGAGGUCAAGCAAAUCCCAUAAAGUUGUUCUCAGUUCGGAUUGUAGUCUGCAACUCGACUACAUGAAGCUGGAAUCGCUAGUAAUCGUAGAUCAGCAUGCUACGGUGAAUACGUUCCCGGGUCUUGUACACACGC